UUGAGAUAGGGCAACCCCAAAGAGGGAGAGUAUGGCUUGGCAACAUUGGGCCUUGCUUGUGGUGGUAGAAUUGUCAUUUUGAGCAAGAGGGUUGAAGUUUCGACAAAGAGUUUUGUUCCAUGGGAUUCUUAAGACAUAGUUAAGGUCCAUAGGGCAUAUGCUUGAAGUGGAGGUUUCUGCUGCUGCAUAGGUGAGAGGGAGACAGAAUGAUAUUAAGACAAGAAACCUUAAGAAAUCAAGAUUAGUGCUGCCCCCCAUGCCAAGCUUUAGAUUUUGCUAAGAAUAGGGUUGCUUAUGAUUUAUUGUUAUCUUGGCUUAUGAGCUCUUGCUUGAACUGCAGAGGAGAGGAAGAAGAAGACGAAGAAAUCAUAUGGAAGAAGAGAGGGAAAGUUCUGGUCAAACACUCACUUCAAGGGUUGGGGCCGCAGGAAGUUCAGUCGGUUAGCACCAUUCAAAUAAACAAAAAAUAAUCAUCCCAAUUAAUUUGGAUAAAAAAAAAGUUUGAAAAUCUUUUAAGAAUAAAAAAUUCCUGUAAUUCUUCGGAAUAAAUUUCAAAAUAUUCAGGUAAGGGGAAAAAAAUGUCACGGUAUCCUAAAUUACAUGAACUACCCCAACGCUCACCCUACAUUGUUAAUUGUUAUGAGUGCUAAACUCAGCUCGCCAAAUUUAGUUGAAAAAUCCACGAUUCUACUCUAAUAAUAGUUAGUUUUUCAAGUUAAAUAAAAAAAUUGUUUUAGUGAAAUCUAAUUAGACAAGCCUUUUCAAGUUGUUAAGUGAUUAAAACAAAAAAUUAUGUAAGAUGUUCUGUUUAGUAUUAUAAUAAUAAUUAUUAUUAUUUAAAAUAUUUUUUAUUUUAAAAUAAUAUUUUUUAUUUAAAAUUAUAAAAAAAUAAUUUAAAUAAAAAAUUUAAUUUCUUAAAAAAGUUUAGAUAGUAAAAACAAACCGUAAUUUGCAAGCUACAUGCUUGGAAGUGGACUAGACGUGCUCCAAAAGAUAGGGUUUGCUUUUACGAGGUAAUCAUAGUUAUGAAGCCGGAGGUCUGGCGGGUUGAUAUAGAACCGGUGAUUAGAUUGAUCUGGAUUUGUUAAAAGACCGGACGGUGCAAUAACUCGGUAAAACCUAGUUGACCCGGUGGGUCAAUCCAUGGCCUGAGCAGACCCGGAUAAGACCCGGCAUUUUGAAGAUGAUCCACUUGAGAUGAUUGCAAGCCGAUUUGGGUUUGGAGAUCUUAAGGCUUGGUGUUGGGUUCUAUUUCUUCCUUCUAGCCCUAACGAUUGAUGACAAUAACUUAAAGGAAUUGAAGGCUAAACAAGACCAAACUCACAGUGUUUCAGGAGAGAGAGGGGCAAUAGAUAGCAGUACCAGCACCAUAGGUUUUAUUAUCUUCAUCAAGUCUUUAAUAUCUCUCUCUUUUUCUCUCUAGCUGAUGUUUUCAAGCAUGUAGAAAUCAUAGGAAUUUACAGGGGAAAGAUGUAAAAGAGAGGAUUUGGGUGCGUUAAGGAGCAAGGACUCUGCUUCACCCCACGGGAAAGCAUGUCAAAGAGCCGGAGAGGAUAGAAAAACUUUGUGAGAAGAUGGUGAUGAGAUUAAUGUCAAAGAGAUCUCUGCACAAAACAACCAACGACCAAUAAUGUCACCCUCUCCCAUACCCAUGUCCUGCCAAAUUGGGUCCCUCUUCACCUUUUUAUUAUUAUUUUUCUUUCUCAUUUCUUAUUUAAGUCUUUAACCACCUGAUCUCAUAAAUAACCCAGGUUUUAUGGAUUGAUUUAAAUUAAUUCGGGUUAAUAUUUAAAAUCUAGAAUCUAGUUUUUUGAGUGGGUUAAUUUUUAAAUUGGUUUAAUAAAUAAAGGAUGGUAGGGCGUAACAUGGACGAAAGCUGCAAUGCUUUUACGAAAGGAAGACUGUUCACUGACAUGGCAUUUUUGCAGUUAUUGGAAAAGUCUUCACAUGAAUUUUUAGGAUUGUGGAAAUUUUUUUUUUAAAAGAAAUAUAUUUUACUUGAAAAAUAUUAAAUUAAUAAUUUUUUAGAGAUUUAUAUUGGUAUUGAUAUGUUAAUAUUAAAAAAAUCUAAAAUAAAAUAUUAUAUUAAUAUAUUUUUAAAUAAAAAAUAAUUUUUUAAAAAAACUAAACCACAAUAUCAAAUACACAACAAUUAAAUAUCUAUGUAGCUAUCUAUGUAGCAUCUCUAUGGCGGGAAGCUUUGCUAUCUUUUUCCUAUUAGAAUUUUUUAUAUUUUUGAUGCAUUAAUUCAAUACAAUAAAUGUAUUUUUAAAAUUAUUGGAGAAAAAGAGUUAAUCAAUCAAAAUGAAAACAAAAUUUUGAAAAAUAUAGUUAUUAAAUUGAUAUAAAAUUUAAACCGGAAAAUAAUACAAGUUAUUGGUUUGUUAAGUCAAUUAUGAAUUACCAAAUUAAUUUAUAUUAGUUUUUUUAUGAAAAAAUUCAUUUAAUUCUUUUGAUAUUAAUCCUGCAAAGUCAUCUAAAUUAGAUUUUAAAUCAUAAAUUCCGAAACUGAACCGAAGUUAGCCGCUAUAUUGGAAAGUACCGAUUGAAGCCAAGAUUACUGGCAACUUUUGACCUCCAUGACAGUGACAAAAGAACCUCCCUUAAUGACAGUGACAAUCAUCGACCAUUCCUCGUCUUUGGGCUGCACGUGACAUUUGGCAAGCAACAGUUGCACGCAAGGCAGAAAUUAAGCGAUUAAAGUAGCUAAGACAUUGUUGUCCUCUGCUCUGUACCUGUUCAUCGUUGGAAGCAAUGACUAGCUUGUAUCUUUUGGGUUUGUUUUUAAAAUAAUUUUUAUGAGUAUGUUUUUUUAAAAAUAAAUUUAGAAAAAAAAUAAUUAAACUUGAUUAGUUGAAUUUAGAUACAAGUUUAUUAAAAAAUAUAAUUAAAAUUUAUGUGUAAUAAAAAAACAUAUAAAUUAUUUAAAUUUAGUUACAUCAUUAGGUUUGUUUGUUUAAUUGCAGCUUUUGUAUUUGCUGUGUAAAAAAUGUAGUUAGGUAUUUGGUAAUACACCAAACUGUGUUUUAUACAGUGGGACCCAGUAAAAAAUUAAGUUUGAAACAUAAUUUUUGUGAAGUUGUUUUUACAUAUUUUUUUAACUUAGUUUCAUAAAAUUAUGUUUGUUUUUGCGUUUCAAAAACAUUUUUAAAAAAAUUUGAUAUUUUUUUAUUUACUUUAAAUUAAUUUUUUUUUGUAUUUUCAGAUCAUUUUGAUGCGCUGAUAUAAAAAAUAACUUUUAAAAAAUAAAAAAAUUAUUUUAAUGCAUUUUCAAGUAAAGAACAAUUUUAAAAAGUAACCAUAACCAUAAAUCAAUUAAUAAUAAUAUAUUUUAGUUUAAAAUAUAGUUGCGGUUGGUUUUUAAAGUGCUAUUUAAUUAGGAACGGAGCUUGGAACGGAGCUUCAAUCCUACAACAGUAACGAGUACAUCAGGAUGGUUAUCAGCAACCUGACAUCUGGUAUCCAAGUGAUAUGUUAAUAACCUAAACAUUCUUUCUGUUUUUCAAAUCGAUCAUAGUCUAUAUAUGGUUUCGCUUUACUGUUCCAGGAAAUAUAUAAGGAGGGAUGAAAUUUGGAAUCUCAAACUUGGCUGCAAUGGGCUGUUUUCCUUUCCUGAGAGCACUUAAACGAACUAGAACAAGAAGUUCAGGCUGUAUGGAUGAAGUUACGGUUCUGACAAAGCUACACAAUAGAGAACUCUCUAAGGUCCUUAAAAAGCUUGAGAGACAGCUUAAUGGAUUUAAGUAUUCAAAUUUUGAUUUCUAUACUUCACAUAGUGAAAGAAUAAAUCAUCCCACCGAAUAUGGUAUGUUUUUAUCUACAUGUCAAUUCAGAAUUUCCUGCUCGUGUUUCUCAAAUAACAAGUCUAUCCUAACUGUCAAGUUCAGGGUAUGACUUGUUACUAAUUCUUCUAUACCUAUUUUAAUUUUGAUUGUUGCAACUUGAAUGUGAAGAUUUUAAGGAGAUAAAGUGGCAUGUUGUGGCACUGGUCCGUAUGGAGGUUCCAAGUGUGGUCUGAACAAGUUCGAAUUAUGCGAUAAUGCGAGUGAAUAUCUCUUCUUUGAUGGAAUUCAUCCAGCAGAUGAGGUUCAUAAUCAAUUUGCAAAGUUGUUCUGGAGUGGAAAUCCUGACGUUGGAGGGCCUUACAAUCUCAAAACACUGUUUGAGGAAUAGCAUAAAUGAUAAAACAAGGUGUACUUUUUUCCAGAUGCUGUAUUAGAUAACCCAGAAGCCAAAGUAUACUUGCUUCUCUUUAUUCUAUUUUGACUUGGAAGAAAUGACAUUAGAGGUGAGAGCAGAGUUCUGUUCUUGAGUACAACACUCACAGGAAUCAGAAAGAUCAUAUCUUGGUUUAGUAAUGCACUAGUUUACGAUGUAUCUGAUCAGCUCCUCAAAAUUCAAGAACCCUCUAAAAUCUGGUCUUUUUGAAGAGAUUCUGGGAGUGGCCCAGACUUGACAAUUUUCAACUUUAAAUUCCUGCUCAGAAUGAUAAGCAAAUACUUGACAUCUUAAAGCUUUCUGAAAGAAGAGAUGCUUAAAAUUCUGUUGGAUGUGUGGAAACAAUUGCUGGACCAUAGUGCAAUCUACACAGGUAUUUCUUCACGUACAAAAAUGCACUUAUCGAUUAUGACCUCUUUGAGAGAUCACAAGACCAACACCCUACCGGCAAGAAACUAAACAACUGGAGUCCUUUAAGGUUUGGUUCAACUUCACAAGUUUGAAAUUAAUAAAUAAGUUCUUUACAACCACGCAGAGAAGCUAUCGGCACUAGAUUCUCUACGACCACAUUAUAUUAAGUUAUUAACAAAGGACCAAAGCCAACAACACCUAGAUUUAUCAGCAAAUAUGAGCAAUAAAGUAUGAUCUACCUGUGUGUCCAUUCCACUGCAGAAAGUACUGCAGUCAGCUACAGACUGAUUAAAGACAUCGAAGGUAGCUGUAGAAGCUCUCUUGUAAUGAACCAGCAAAUUGUUAGACCUUAAUUCUGAAGCAGCAUUACAAAAGUUAAAUCAAACAAUAUGUUCAAGAACUAGUGAUAUAGAAGUCUUAGUUCAAGGACUACUAGCAUUUAGACCCAUAGGUCAAGAGAGUUAUGCACCUUUUAGCCUUUAAUUUAUCAGCCUCGUUACAUUGUUGGUGUGGCCUUUCGUUUGUAUUUUUCUCAUGUUCUGUUGGUAUGCUCGACUGGAAAUGAAGCUGAACUUCUUCCUAUUCUUAGGCUUUGGAAAUCAGCCUCAACCUGUCCUCUUUUGAGUUUUGUUUUGGCUUUAGCUUUUGUCAGGCAUUGGUCAACUAAGCAAUGUUGUUGUCAUAAAAUGGUGAUUUGAAGUAUUUUGUAGGCUAGUCUUGAUAUGGCUAGUUCUUGUAGUCUCAGGCCACUAAGAAAAUCUGUAGUAAUUUUCUCUGUAAUGUCAAUAUUAUCAAUGAUCCAAAAAAAAAAAAAGGGGGGGACAUGUCAAUAUUAUCAAUUUAUCAAGGUUGGACAUUGGCAGCUUGGACUAAUCAUUGAUAUCCAUGUCAAGUAAAAGCACAGACGACAAAAGGAAUGGGAAGCGAUAGAAAUAUAUUGAAAACUUGAAUAAACAGAAAACAAAAACACCAAUGCUGAGUAGCCAUGGUGGGAUUUAUAUGCAUACAUUUAUUGAUCGAAAGUAGGGAACAUAUGUUGAUAUAUAACAUGUAUAUAGGGUUAAGGUCCCUGCAGCUUCACUGAAAAUUCAUUCAUUUCCUGGAGGAAUGAACCAAAUUCCAUUAAUCAAACGAGUAGAAGAAACCUGAUCCCAAUAGCAGCAAUUUAUCUAGACUUUUUGGAAUUUUGGGGUAAAUUUGUAUUUUUUCAGCAAUUUAUCUUAUAUACGAGGCAGAGGUUAAAUUCCAAUUCACAGUAGCAGAUUAAAAACACACAGUGUACGUUCAUGUCCAUCUUCAAAAUUCUACUAAGAAUAGGUUACCAAGCCUCGACAAAUUUUAGGUGCUUCAGAACAUCAAAGCAUCACAGUGUUGGUAAGUCUGACUAACUUCUAUCACAACUAAUGAUACCCUAAACUCUCUACCUCUUAACUUGAGAAACUCAGGAAUUAAUCUCCACAUACUGAGCACUAUACAGUUCAAUGGCCCAACAUACUUUAAAUUCAUCUUCUUUGCCAAUCAUUCUUGGAUAUGCAGGUUAACUAGCGAAAGAGGUCUGCCGCACGCAUGCAUCCACCUCUCCAGAUCCAUUAGGUAAUGCAGAAGAAAGCCAUUUAAGGGCAUUAGUGCUUACCUAAGCGUGUCUCCGGGCUGUAAUUUUGGUCCACUCAAUACUGGUGAGAUGCUGAAAUUGUUGCCAUCAGCAUGGAACGAAGGGUGCCCAAGAGGCACUGGUCGAUCUGGAAUCUGUGGAACUUCAAUAUCUCCUUCUAACAUUUUCAGCGCAUCCAGAAUGGUUGGCCUUAGAGCCACCAUUAUAUGAGCACACAAAAUCCCAACCAGCACAAACCUUUCCAUUAUCCCCUUCGGAUUUGAGUUUGAAGAAUCACUACCUCUCAACAAAGAAGCAUCCAAUGCCUGUUCCACUUUUCCAGCUUUCACCAAUGACCAGGCCCAGUCUGUGAUCAAUAAAGCCCGAGGUGACCCUGAAGAAGACAAAUCAAGAGCUUUUCUCCCACUCAUUAUCUCCAAAACAACCACCCCAAAGCUAUAAACAUCGCUCUUCUCAGUCAGUUGACCAUAAAGAGCAUAUUCGGGUGCUAAGUACCCAUGAGUUCCAGCCACUCGUGUCGUAAGAUGAGACUGCCCUUCCCUACUUUGCUUUGCCAACCCAAAAUCGGCAACUCUUGCUCUCAUAUCAGCAUCUAACAAUAUAUUUGUCCCCUUGAUAUCUCUAUGAUAUAUUCCAGGCUUGACUCCAUGGUGCAAAUAAGCUAAUCCCUUUGCCACAUCCAGAAUUAUGCUCUUUCUUUGAGGCCAACUUAACAAUUGCUUUUGAAUUUGAUUAUCCGAUGAUGGAAAUAAAUGGUCAUCAAGAUUCCCAUUUGACAUGUAAUCAUAAACAAGAUACCUCUGAUUGCCUCUCUCCUCAGAAUUUACAUCAUCGUCAAUCACACAGCACCCUCUGAGGGGCACCAAAUUCCUGUGCUUCAAGUUGCUAAUAAUCUCAACCUCGUUGCAAAACUCUGCAUCACCUUGAAAGUCAGAUUCUAUAACCCUUUUAACAGCCACCACUGUCCCAUCAGAUAAAACCCCCUUGUAAACAAAACCAAACCCGCCUCUCCCAAUAAAAUUCUUCUGCGAGAAAUUGUCUGUUGCCUUCUCAAGAUCCCGAAUUUUAAACCAAAUUGACCCUGUAUUCGGCCUCAGUUUAGGCCUAGACCCUUGCUGUUCAUCUAAAUCAAAACCAAACCCUGGAUUCUUUUUCCUUCUCCAUUUCUUAUCAUACCAAAGAUACAAUCCUAACAAACUAGAGACUAGUAAAAUAGCAACGCCAGCACCAGUCAAGCCAAAAACAAGAGCAGAAUGCGAAUUGCUAGCUGAACCAACUCUUGAAUUUAAAUCCAAACCAAAUAUACAUGAAACAACACCAUCACUUUCAGGACCAAACUCGUUAACAAUACCAGCAGCAUAGAGAACAGCAAAGUAAAAACAAUCUUGAGCAUGAGUUUGAUUACCAUCAGCAGCCACCAACAACGACUGUACUUUAUUACCAGCUCUAACACAAGAAGCACAAGCUGUAAGAUCAGUAAGAUCAGACCGGCAAUCUGAAUCAAGAGAAGUCGACUUACCAAGUUGAGCAACCCAGUCUUGAGAUGUCUCUAUACGGGCACAGAUGUUAGGUGAUGUAACAAACUGUAAAGGGUUAAAGCAGUGUGAGACAAGAUUGUCGGAAAGAGAAAAGGAGCUGAGCUUUGACUGGUAAUCUUGAAGGCAAGAACUAGAGGUAGCUAAGUCUGGAAGUUGAAAAAGAGAGGUUUCUUUGAGAUGUUGAGAUAGGGCAACCCCAAAGAGGGAGAGUAUGGCUUGGCAACAUUGGGCCUUGGUUGUGGUGUUGGAAUUGUCAUUUUGAGCAAGAGGGUUGAAGUUUCGACAAAGAGUUUUGUUCCAUGGGAUUCUUAAGACAUAGUUAAGGUCCAUAGGGCAUAUGUUUGAAGUGGAGGUUUCUGCUGCUGCAGAGGUGAGAGGGAGAAAGAAUGGUAUUAAGACAAGAAACCUUAAGAAAUCAAGAUUAGUGCUGCCCCCCAUGCCAAGCUUUAGAUUUUGCUAAGAAUAGGGUUGCUUAGGAUUUAUUGUUAUCCUGGCUUAUGAGCUCUGGCUUGAAUUGCAGAGAAGAGGAAGAAGAGGAAGAAUAGGAAGACGAAGAAAUCAUAUGGAAGAAGAGAGGGAAAGUUCUGGUCAAACACUCACUUCAAGGGUUGGUGUAGCAGGAAGUUCAGUCGGU
Molecule: long non-coding RNA, 8413 nt
Filed under: Populus tremula
Lineage: Eukaryota; Viridiplantae; Streptophyta; Magnoliopsida; Malpighiales; Salicaceae
Description: long non-coding RNA (PTRE_LNC003152)
Source: RNAcentral